UGGCUCAGUGGUUAAGAGCACUGUUCUGUUCUUCCAGAGGACCUGGGUUCAAUUCCCAG
RNAcentral lists this transfer RNA (59 nucleotides) under Neotoma lepida (desert woodrat). It matches the Rfam family "tRNA", at positions 8 to 63 of the family's 71-position model. From Rfam's summary of the family: Transfer RNA (tRNA) molecules are approximately 80 nucleotides in length. The record is from Rfam by way of RNAcentral. Lineage: Eukaryota; Metazoa; Chordata; Mammalia; Rodentia; Cricetidae.